GGGGAUUUAGCUCAGCGGUAGAGCGUUUGCCUAGCAAGCUCAAGGCCCUGGGUUCGGUCCCCAGCUCCG
This 69-nucleotide transfer RNA is filed under the name Rattus norvegicus (Norway rat). It matches the Rfam family "tRNA". Rfam says of the family: Transfer RNA (tRNA) molecules are approximately 80 nucleotides in length. Their secondary structure includes four short double-helical elements and three loops (D, anti-codon, and T loops). Lineage: Eukaryota; Metazoa; Chordata; Mammalia; Rodentia; Muridae. The record is from Rfam by way of RNAcentral.